Molecule: ribosomal RNA, 498 nt
Filed under: uncultured bacterium
Lineage: Bacteria
Description: partial 16S ribosomal RNA
Rfam family: Bacterial small subunit ribosomal RNA
Source: RNAcentral
GACGAACGCUGGCGGCGUGCCUAAUACAUGCAAGUCGAGCGGACGGAUGGGAGCUUGCUCCCAGACCGUCAGCGGCGGACGGGUGAGUAACACGUGGGCAACCUGCCUGUAAGACUGGGAUAACUCCGGGAAACCGGGGCUAAUACCGGAUAACUCUUUCCCUCACAUGAGGGAAAGCUGAAAGAUGGCAUCUCGCUAUCACUUACAGACGGGCCCGCGGCGCAUUAGCUAGUUGGUGAGGUAACGGCUCACCAAGGCGACGAUGCGUAGCCGACCUGAGAGGGUGAUCGGCCACACUGGGACUGAGACACGGCCCAGACUCCUACGGGAGGCAGCAGUAGGGAAUCUUCCGCAAUGGACGAAAGUCUGACGGAGCAACGCCGCGUGAGUGAUGAAGGUUUUCGGAUCGUAAAACUCUGUUGUCAGGGAAGAACAAGUACCGGAGUAACUGCCGGUACCUUGACGGUACCUGACCAGAAAGCCACGGCUAACUACGUG